This 1091-nucleotide ribosomal RNA is filed under the name Enterococcus faecium. RNAcentral's name for it is "bacterial SSU rRNA". It matches the Rfam family "Bacterial small subunit ribosomal RNA", at positions 372 to 1462 of the family's 1533-position model. The record is from RNAcentral. Lineage: Bacteria; Bacillati; Bacillota; Bacilli; Lactobacillales; Enterococcaceae. RNAcentral also lists the same sequence under 1 other name.
CGACCGAACGUCUGGACCGAGUCAUGCUCGUGUGAUGUGCAGACGCUUUCGGAUCGUAAAACUCUGUGUGCAGAGAAGAACAUGGAUCGGAGGAACGUUCAUUCCUGACGGUAUUUUAACAGAAAGCACGGCUACUUCGUGCCAGCAGCCGCGUAUACGUAGGGGGCAAGCGUUGUCCGGAUUUAUUGGGCCGUAAGCGAGCGCAGGGGGUUUCUUAAGUUUGAUGUGAAAGCCCCGCUCACCCGGGGAGGGGUCAUUGGAAACUGGGAGACUUGAGUGCAGAAGAGGAGAGGGGAAUUCCAUGGGUAGCGGUGAAAUGCGUAGAUAUAGGGAGGAACACCAGUGGCGAAGGCGGCUCUCUGGUCUGUAACUGACGCUGAGGCUCGAAAGCGUGGGGAGCAAACAGGAUUAGAUACCCUGGUAGUCCACGCCGUAAACGAUGAGUGCUAAGUGUUGGAGGGUUUCCGCCCUUCAGUGCUGCAGCUAACGCAUUAAGCACUCCGCCUGGGGAGUACGACCGCAAGGUUGAAACUCAAAGGAAUUGACGGGGGCCCGCACAAGCGGUGGAGCAUGUGGUUUAAUUCGAAGCAACGCGAAGAACCUUACCAGGUCUUGACAUCCUUUGACCACUCUAGAGAUAGAGCUUCCCCUUCGGGGGCAAAGUGACAGGUGGUGCAUGGUUGUCGUCAGCUCGUGUCGUGAGAUGUUGGGUUAAGUCCCGCAACGAGCGCAACCCUUAUUGUUAGUUGCCAUCAUUCAGUUGGGCACUCUAGCAAGACUGCCGGUGACAAACCGGAGGAAGGUGGGGAUGACGUCAAAUCAUCAUGCCCCUUAUGACCUGGGCUACACACGUGCUACAAUGGGAAGUACAACGAGUCGCGAAGUCGCGAGGCUAAGCUAAUCUCUUAAAGCUUCUCUCAGUUCGGAUUGCAGGCUGCAACUCGCCUGCAUGAAGCCGGAAUCGCUAGUAAUCGCGGAUCAGCACGCCGCGGUGAAUACGUUCCCGGGCCUUGUACACACCGCCCGUCACACCACGAGAGUUUGUAACACCCGAAGUCGGUGAGGUAACCUUUGGAGCCAGCCGCCUAACU